UCGUUGUUAUCUAGAAGCAGCUAUUGCAAAUCGGUAUGAAAUAGAUUGCUCGGCAGUGUAUGUUAUUUCAAACCGAAUCCGACGUUCAAGUCAAGUUGUUGUGUUUCUAGACUGCCCAAAAAAGAAUUCAUCAGCCCAAGAAUGAAGAUUCUGUUUGUAAUUUGUGGAGUUUUGCUGGUAGCUCUGGCCGUGAGUGGUCGACCGGUGUGUGAGGAAUGCGACGAGGAAGCCCCACUGGCAGUUCCAGAUGAUCAAGUUUUGAAAGGAGUAAAGCCACCAGUAAUUAAUCCGGUAGCAACCUUCGAAGAGGAUAUGGAGAAUGUUGAUCAGAUGAACAUAAUCGAUGCUCCCGUAGUUUGCCCACCGGGACAGAGGCCAGACCAUAAUGGAAAGUGCCGUGAAGUAUGGGGCCUGUAGGAGUCUAGACGGAAGCGUUAUCAGUUGACUUCUGAUGUUUACUAUUCGAUGGUUUACAACUUACAGGAAAUUUUUAAUGCAGUUUCGAAUGCUAUCUUAUCACGCUGUACAUUAUAGCAACUACUUGAAGUAGUUCCUGUCGUCAAUAAAAUGCAUAUCACUUGGGUAAAAA
Ochlerotatus camptorhynchus is the source of this 589-nucleotide long non-coding RNA. RefSeq lists it as uncharacterized. The record is from RefSeq and is a predicted model, not a curated record. The transcript has 2 exons. NCBI's taxonomy places the organism in Eukaryota, Metazoa, Arthropoda, Insecta, Diptera, Culicidae.